UACGUAGGGUGCGAGCGUUAAUCGGAAUUACUGGGCGUAAAGCGUGCGCAGGCGGUCUGUUAAGACCGAUGUGAAAUCCCCGGGCUUAACCUGGGAACUGCAUUGGUGACUGGCAGGCUUUGAGUGUGGCAGAGGGAGGUAGAAUUCCACGUGUAGCAGUGAAAUGCGUAGAGAUGUGGAGGAAUACCGAUGGCGAAGGCAGCCUUUUGGGCCAACACUGACGCUCAUGCACGAAAGCGUGGGGAGCAAACAGG
This 254-nucleotide ribosomal RNA is filed under the name uncultured bacterium. RNAcentral describes it as "partial 16S ribosomal RNA". It matches the Rfam family "Bacterial small subunit ribosomal RNA", at positions 524 to 776 of the family's 1533-position model. The record is from RNAcentral.